UUUCCGUAGGUGAACCUGCGGAAGGAUCAUUAUUGUAUAACCGAGGUGCGAGGGCUGUCGCUGACCCGAAAGGUCGUGCACGCCCGAGUGCCCUCACACACAUCCCUCUCACCCCUAUGUGCACCACCGCGUGGGUCCCCCUUUGGCUUGUUCGGAGGGGGGCUUACGUUUUCACACAUACUUUGUAUGCAGUGUAGAAUGUAUUUUUUGUUUUUGCGAUCACGCAAUCAAUACAACUUUCAACAACGGAUCUCUUGGCUCUC
RNAcentral lists this unclassified non-coding RNA (263 nucleotides) under plant metagenome. Its description in RNAcentral is "partial contains small subunit ribosomal RNA, internal transcribed spacer 1, and 5.8S ribosomal RNA". The record is from RNAcentral.